GAUGAAGAACGCAGCGAAAUGCGAUAAGUAGUGUGAAUUGCAGAAUUCAGUGAAUCAUCGAAUCUUUGAACGCACAUUGCGCCCCUUGGUAUUCCAUGGGGCAUGCCUGUUCGAGCGUCAUUUACACCCUCAAGCUCAGCUUGGUGUUGGGCGUCUGUCCCGCUUCGUGCGUGGACUCGCCCCAAAGGUAUUGGCAGCGGUCCUUGCCAGCUUCUCGCGCAGCACAUUGCGCUUCUCGAGGCUGGAGGAUCGGCGUCCAUCAAGCCCACUUCCACAGUUUGACCUCGGAUCAGGUAGGGAUACCCGCUGAACUUAAGCAUAUCAAUAAGCGGAGGA
Molecule: unclassified non-coding RNA, 336 nt
Filed under: soil metagenome
Description: partial contains 5.8S ribosomal RNA, internal transcribed spacer 2, and large subunit ribosomal RNA
Rfam family: 5.8S ribosomal RNA (bases 1-120)
Source: RNAcentral